This 72-nucleotide transfer RNA is filed under the name Parmotrema ultralucens. RNAcentral's name for it is "tRNA-Glu". It matches the Rfam family "tRNA". From Rfam's summary of the family: Transfer RNA (tRNA) molecules are approximately 80 nucleotides in length. Their secondary structure includes four short double-helical elements and three loops (D, anti-codon, and T loops). Lineage: Eukaryota; Fungi; Ascomycota; Lecanoromycetes; Lecanorales; Parmeliaceae. The record is from RNAcentral.
GGCCCAGUUAUCCAACGGUUAAGAUGUAAUGCUUUCACCAUUAUAGUACAGGUUCGAUUCCUGUCUGGGCUA